GGAGGGGGCUAGCGUUUUUCGGAAUUACUGGGCGUAAAGCGCACGUAGGCGGCUUUGUAAGUCAGAGGUGAAAGCCUGGAGCUCAACUCCAGAACUGCCUUUGAGACUGCAUCGCUUGAAUCCAGGAGAGGUCAGUGGAAUUCCGAGUGUAGAGGUGAAAUUCGUAGAUAUUCGGAAGAACGCCAGUGGCGAAGGCGGCUGACUGGACUGGUAUUGACGCUGAGGUGCGAAAGCGUGGGGAGCAAA
Molecule: ribosomal RNA, 246 nt
Filed under: uncultured bacterium
Lineage: Bacteria
Description: partial 16S ribosomal RNA
Rfam family: Bacterial small subunit ribosomal RNA
Source: RNAcentral